RNAcentral lists this ribosomal RNA (273 nucleotides) under Niallia circulans. Its description in RNAcentral is "Bacillus circulans partial 16S rRNA". It matches the Rfam family "Bacterial small subunit ribosomal RNA", at positions 68 to 334 of the family's 1533-position model. Lineage: Bacteria; Bacillati; Bacillota; Bacilli; Caryophanales; Bacillaceae. The record is from RNAcentral.
GACUUUAAAAGCUUGCUUUUAAAGUUAGCGGCGGACGGGUGAGUAACACGUGGGCAACCUGCCUGUAAGACUGGGAUAACUUCGGGAAACCGGAGCUAAUACCGGAUAAUCCUUUUCCUCUCAUGAGGAAAAGCUGAAAGACGGUUUACGCUGUCACUUACAGAUGGGCCCGCGGCGCAUUAGCUAGUUGGUGAGGUAACGGCUCACCAAGGCGACGAUGCGUAGCCGACCUGAGAGGGUGAUCGGCCACACUGGGACUGAGACACGGCCCAG